AUACGGAGGGUGCGAGCGUUAAUCGGAAUUACUGGGCGUAAAGCGCGCGUAGGCGGCUAAGUAAGUCGGAUGUGAAAGCCCUAGGCUCAACCUGGGAAUUGCACUCGAUACUGCUUGGCUAGAGUAUGGUAGAGGGUAGUGGAAUUCCUGGUGUAGCGGUGAAAUGCGUAGAUAUCAGGAGGAACAUCAGUGGCGAAGGCGGCUACCUGGACCAAUACUGACGCUGAGGUGCGAAAGAGUGGGGAGCAAACAGGAUUAGAAACCCCAGUAGUCC
Molecule: ribosomal RNA, 274 nt
Filed under: uncultured bacterium
Lineage: Bacteria
Description: partial 16S ribosomal RNA
Rfam family: Bacterial small subunit ribosomal RNA
Source: RNAcentral